CGAAUAAACGGGUUAGUCUCCGAGGUGCCACAAGUCCUCCUGUAUCCUCCUGCGCGGAUACAGACUCACAGGGCUGCUGCUCGGAACCCGGCUCUAUGUAUUUU
Long non-coding RNA from Dermochelys coriacea (leatherback sea turtle), 104 nucleotides. RefSeq lists it as uncharacterized. The record is from RefSeq and is a predicted model, not a curated record. NCBI's taxonomy places the organism in Eukaryota, Metazoa, Chordata, Testudines, Dermochelyidae. The transcript has 3 exons.